RNAcentral lists this ribosomal RNA (91 nucleotides) under uncultured bacterium. RNAcentral describes it as "partial 16S ribosomal RNA". It matches the Rfam family "Bacterial small subunit ribosomal RNA", at positions 400 to 508 of the family's 1533-position model. The record is from RNAcentral.
CGUGAGUGAAGAAGGCCUUCGGGUUGUAAAACUCUUUCACCUGUGAGGAUAAUGACGGUAGCAGGAGAAGAAGCACCGGCAAACUCUGUGC